RNAcentral lists this non-coding RNA (94 nucleotides) under bovine gut metagenome. Its description in RNAcentral is "THF riboswitch". It matches the Rfam family "THF (Tetrahydrofolate) riboswitch aptamer". Rfam says of the family: THF riboswitch presents a pseudoknot that joins P1-P2 and the loop of P3 and two THF binding. The record is from RNAcentral.
CAGAGUAGGCGAUAAAGCGUACAGUGUCCGGAGAACGGGGAGUUGUCUUCGGAACGAAGGGGGAACCCGCGGUUUUGUCGCUGCAUCCCGCUGU